RNAcentral lists this ribosomal RNA (981 nucleotides) under Burkholderia cenocepacia. Its description in RNAcentral is "partial 23S ribosomal RNA". It matches the Rfam family "Bacterial large subunit ribosomal RNA", at positions 588 to 1579 of the family's 2925-position model. The record is from RNAcentral. Lineage: Bacteria; Pseudomonadati; Pseudomonadota; Betaproteobacteria; Burkholderiales; Burkholderiaceae.
AAGGGGUGACGGCGUACCUUUUGUAUAAUGGGUCAGCGACUUACGUUCAGUAGCAAGCUUAACCGUAUAGGGCAGGCGUAGCGAAAGCGAGUCCGAAUAGGGCGUUCAGUUGCUGGGCGUAGACCCGAAACCAGGUGAUCUAUCCAUGGCCAGGAUGAAGGUGCGGUAACACGUACUGGAGGUCCGAACCCACUAACGUUGAAAAGUUAGGGGAUGAGCUGUGGAUAGGGGUGAAAGGCUAAACAAACCUGGAAAUAGCUGGUUCUCUCCGAAAACUAUUUAGGUAGUGCCUCGUGUCUCACCUUCGGGGGUAGAGCACUGUCAUGGUUGGGGGGUCUAUUGCAGAUUACCCCGCCAUAGCAAACUCCGAAUACCGAAGAGUGCAAUCACGGGAGACAGACAUCGGGUGCUAACGUCCGGUGUCAAGAGGGAAACAACCCAGACCGCCAGCUAAGGUCCCCAAAUAUAGCUAAGUGGGAAACGAAGUGGGAAGGCUAAAACAGUCAGGAGGUUGGCUUAGAAGCAGCCACCCUUUAAAGAAAGCGUAAUAGCUCACUGAUCGAGUCGUCCUGCGCGGAAGAUGUAACGGGGCUAAGCUAUAUACCGAAGCUGCGGAUGCGUGCUUGCACGCAUGGUAGGAGAGCGUUCCGUAAGCCUGCGAAGGUGCCUUGUAAAGGGUGCUGGAGGUAUCGGAAGUGCGAAUGCUGACAUGAGUAGCGAUAAAGGGGGUGAAAGGCCCCCUCGCCGUAAGCCCAAGGUUUCCUACGCAACGUUCAUCGGCGUAGGGUGAGUCGGCCCCUAAGGCGAGGCAGAAAUGCGUAGCUGAUGGGAAGCAGGUCAAUAUUCCUGCACCAUUGUUAGAUGCGAUGGGGGGACGGAUCGCGGAAGGUUGUCCGGGUGUUGGAAGUCCCGGUCGCUGCAUUGGAGAAGGCGCUUAGGCAAAUCCGGGCGCGUAAUUCAAGGGUGUGGCGCGAGCUCCUU